GGUUUUGGUGAGAUUGAGAAAGCAAAAUAUAUGGUACAAAGUAAUCAAAUCUUCUGAAUUUGCAUAUGUAACUGAUAGUGCUGAUACUAGAUACAAGCCUUAUCCCACCUGCUAAGGUAUCACCUCAUUAUCCAUUGGUAUGUGAUAAUCUGAAAGGCUGCUGGGAUAAUUGCCUGGUGAAUAAGUUUUGUCAGAGCGUUAGAACUGGAUAAGUGAAAGCAAGUUAUUGAUUCAGUGAAAUCUUGCUUUUCAUGUCUACUCUCAAGUGCAUUAUUUGUUUCCUUGAGACUCAAGCCCAUUUUAGAAGUCAGUUCUAAAGCACCCACACCCCAGCCAUCCUUCUUAUUUUG
Molecule: long non-coding RNA, 350 nt
Filed under: Elaeis guineensis (African oil palm)
Lineage: Eukaryota; Viridiplantae; Streptophyta; Magnoliopsida; Arecales; Arecaceae
Description: long non-coding RNA (EGUI_LNC035176)
Source: RNAcentral